UCCCCGGUAGCUCAAUCGGCAGAGCGGUUGGCUGUUAACCAAUAGGUUGGGAGUUCGAGUCUCUCCCGGGGAG
This 73-nucleotide transfer RNA is filed under the name bacterium. RNAcentral describes it as "tRNA-Asn". It matches the Rfam family "tRNA". Rfam says of the family: Transfer RNA (tRNA) molecules are approximately 80 nucleotides in length. Their secondary structure includes four short double-helical elements and three loops (D, anti-codon, and T loops). The record is from RNAcentral.